RNAcentral lists this ribosomal RNA (496 nucleotides) under uncultured bacterium. Its description in RNAcentral is "partial 16S ribosomal RNA". It matches the Rfam family "Bacterial small subunit ribosomal RNA", at positions 28 to 506 of the family's 1533-position model. The record is from RNAcentral.
GAUGAACGCUGGCGGCGUGCCUAAUACAUGCAAGUCGAGCGAACGGACGAGAAGCUUGCUUCUCUGAUGUUAGCGGCGGACGGGUGAGUAACACGUGGAUAACCUACCUAUAAGACUGGGAUAACUUCGGGAAACCGGAGCUAAUACCGGAUAAUAUUUUGAACCGCAUGGUUCAAAAGUGAAAGACGGUCUUGCUGUCACUUAUAGAUGGAUCCGCGCUGCAUUAGCUAGUUGGUAAGGUAACGGCCUACCAAGGCAACGAUGCAUAGCCGACCUGAGAGGGUGAUCGGCCACACUGGAACUGAGACACGGUCCAGACUCCUACGGGAGGCAGCAGUAGGGAAUCUUCCGCAAUGGGCGAAAGCCUGACGGAGCAACGCCGCGUGAGUGAUGAAGGUCUUCGGAUCGUAAAACUCUGUUAUUAGGGAAGAACAUAUGUGUAAGUAUCUGUGCACAUCUUGACGGUACCUAAUCAGAAAGCCACGGCUAACUACGU